GAUGAAGAACGUAGCAAAAUGCUAUAAGUAAUGUGAAUUGCAGAAUUCAGUGAAUCAUCGAAUCUUUGAACGCACAUUGCGCCCGCUGGUAUUCCGGCGGGCAUGCCUGUUCGAGCGUCAUUUCAACCCUCAAGCCCCCGGGUUUGGUGUUGGGGAUCGGCUCUGCCCUUCUGGGCGGUGCCGCCCCCGAAAUACAUUGGCGGUCUCGCUGCAGCCUCCAUUGCGUAGUAGCUAACACCUCGCAACUGGAACGCGGCGCGGCCAUGCCGUAAAACCCCAACUUCUGAAUGUUGACCUCGGAUCAGGUAGGAAUACCCGCUGAACUUAAGCAUAUCAAUAGCGGAGGA
RNAcentral lists this unclassified non-coding RNA (347 nucleotides) under soil metagenome. RNAcentral's name for it is "partial contains 5.8S ribosomal RNA, internal transcribed spacer 2, and large subunit ribosomal RNA". The stretch from base 1 to 120 matches the Rfam family "5.8S ribosomal RNA", at positions 35 to 154 of the family's 154-position model. The record is from RNAcentral.